CCUACGGGUGGCAGCAGUGGGGAAUAUUGGUCAAUGGACGAGAGUCUGAACCAGCCAAGUAGCGUGAAGGAUGACUGCCCUAUGGGUUGUAAACUUCUUUUAUAUGGGAAUAAAACGUUCCACGUGUGGGAUUUUGUAUGUACCAUAUGAAUAAGGAUCGGCUAACUCCGUGCCAGCAGCCGCGGUAAUACGGAGGAUCCGAGCGUUAUCCGGAUUUAUUGGGUUUAAAGGGAGCGUAGGUGGAUUGUUAAGUCAGUUGUGAAAGUUUGCGGCUCAACCGUAAAAUUGCAGUUGAAACUGGCAGUCUUGAGUACAGUAGAGGUGGGCGGAAUUCGUGGUGUAGCGGUGAAAUGCUUAGAUAUCACGAAGAACUCCGAUUGCGAAGGCAGUUCACUGGACUGCAACUGACACUGAGGCUCGAAAGUGUGGGUAUCAAACAGGAUUAGAUACCCUAGUAGUC
RNAcentral lists this ribosomal RNA (460 nucleotides) under uncultured bacterium. RNAcentral describes it as "partial 16S ribosomal RNA". It matches the Rfam family "Bacterial small subunit ribosomal RNA", at positions 338 to 795 of the family's 1533-position model. The record is from RNAcentral.